GGGGGAAUAUUGCACAAUGGGCGCAAGCCUGAUGCAGCCAUGCCGCGUGUGUGAAGAAGGCCUUCGGGUUGUAAAGCACUUUCAGUAAGGAGGAAAGGUUAAGUGUUAAUAGCACUUAGCUGUGACGUUACUUACAGAAGAAGCACCGGCUAACUCCGUGCCAGCAGCCGCGGUAAUACGGAGGGUGCGAGCGUUAAUCGGAAUUACUGGGCGUAAAGCGUACGCAGGCGGUUUGUUAAGCGAGAUGUGAAAGCCCCGGGCUCAACCUGGGAACUGCAUUUCGAACUGGCAAACUAGAGUGUGAUAGAGGGUGGUAGAAUUCAUAGUGUAGCGGUGGAAUGCGUAGAUAU
RNAcentral lists this ribosomal RNA (350 nucleotides) under uncultured bacterium. RNAcentral's name for it is "bacterial SSU rRNA". It matches the Rfam family "Bacterial small subunit ribosomal RNA", at positions 355 to 697 of the family's 1533-position model. The record is from RNAcentral.